CUGAUGCAGCGACGCCGCGUGAGGGAUGACGGCCUUCGGGUUGUAAACCUCUUUCAGCAGGGACGAAGCGAAAGUGACGGUACCUGCAGAAGAAGCACCGGCCAACUACGUGCCAGCAGCCGCGGUAAUACGUAGGGUGCGAGCGUUGUCCGGAAUUACUGGGCGUAAAGAGCUCGUAGGCGGUUUGUCGCGUCGUCUGUGAAAACCAGCAGCUCAACUGCUGGCUUGCAGGCGAUACGGGCAGACUUGAGUACUGCAGGGGAGACUGGAAUUCCUGGUGUAGCGGUGAAAUGCGCAGAUAUCAGGAGGAACACCGGUGGCGAAGGCGGGUCUCUGGGCAGUAACUGACGCUGAGGAGCGAAAGCGUGGGUAGCGAACAGGAUUAGAUACCCUGGUAGUCCACGCCGUAAACGGUGGGCGCUAGGUGUGGGUUUCCUUCCACGGGAUCCGUGCCGUACCUAACGCAUUAAGCGCCCCGCCGGGGGAGUACGGCCGCAAGGCUAAAACUCAAAGGAAUUGACGGGGGCCCGCACAAGCGGCGGAGCAGGUGGAUUAAUUCGAUGCAACGCGAAAAACCUUACCUGGGUUUGACAUAUACCGGAAAGCCGUAAAGAUACGGCCCCCCUUGUGG
RNAcentral lists this ribosomal RNA (631 nucleotides) under Rhodococcus sp. So1Pt_2. RNAcentral's name for it is "bacterial SSU rRNA". It matches the Rfam family "Bacterial small subunit ribosomal RNA", at positions 383 to 1024 of the family's 1533-position model. Lineage: Bacteria; Bacillati; Actinomycetota; Actinomycetes; Mycobacteriales; Nocardiaceae. The record is from RNAcentral.